RNAcentral lists this ribosomal RNA (440 nucleotides) under uncultured bacterium. Its description in RNAcentral is "bacterial SSU rRNA". It matches the Rfam family "Bacterial small subunit ribosomal RNA", at positions 338 to 792 of the family's 1533-position model. The record is from RNAcentral.
CCUACGGGGGGCUGCAGUCGAGAAUCUUGGGCAAUGCACGAAAGUGUGACCCAGCGACGCCGCGUGAUGGAUGAAGGCCCUCUGGGUUGUAAACAUCUUUUAUGGGGAAAGAAUCAAUGACGGUACCCCAUGAAUAAGCCACGGCUAACUACGUGCCAGCAGCCGCGGUAAUACGUAGGUGGCAAGCGUUGUCCGGAUUUACUGGGCGUAAAGCGUACGCAGGCGGAAGGUUAAGUAGGAAGUGAAAGGUUGGAGCUCAACUCUAACACUGCUCCCUAUACUGGCCUUCUUGAGUGGCGGAGAGGAAAGCGGAACAAGUUGUGUAGCGGUGAAAUGCGUUGAUAUAACUUGGAACACCAAUGGCGAAAGCAGCUUUCUGGACGCAAACUGACGCUCAUGUACGAAAGCCAAGGUAGCAAACAGGAUUAGAUACCCGGGUA